Molecule: long non-coding RNA, 518 nt
Organism: Cydia pomonella (codling moth)
Lineage: Eukaryota; Metazoa; Arthropoda; Insecta; Lepidoptera; Tortricidae
Exons: 2
Source: RefSeq, a predicted model, not a curated record
CUAUCAGUUUUCAUAUAAAAUGAUUAAAUAACGAUUUAUGUUGUUGAAAUAGAUUUAUUGAUUAAUUUUUAAAAUUAAAAAUCCACCGCACAGUAUCUCCGCUCAGACUCGGUUAAAGUUUAAUCCAUUGUACUAAACUAAGAAACAACAAUUAUUUCAAGAGGGUGAACGUGAGCAAAAAAUCCUUGGGCGUCAUAUCAUUUCCUUGGAAAGGCUCAAAAUCAAAAGGCACGGAUCCGACACAUAAUUGUGACUAGUUGUAGUUUCCCGGUGACCAUCAACAAGACCGCUGCACUGAGCUGUGGAGCAGAAAGUGUCCGACAAUCGGAUAGAUGUAAUAACAACUUUGUCUGUCAUAUAUUCAUGUAAUUUUUAGUUUUUUGGGCUGAUAUAUGUGAUAUGAUUACAAGUUACACUAAUUGCAAUUGUGGAGUAAAAUCAGAUGUGCCAAAGAUCAUGUUUUAGAUAUAUAAAAAUCUAUAUUAAAUGCAAUAAAUAGUAUAUGUAUAUAUAUAAAA